This 397-nucleotide long non-coding RNA is filed under the name Elaeis guineensis (African oil palm). RNAcentral describes it as "long non-coding RNA (EGUI_LNC071036)". Lineage: Eukaryota; Viridiplantae; Streptophyta; Magnoliopsida; Arecales; Arecaceae. The record is from RNAcentral.
GUCUGAAGACUGUCCGCUGGAGAGGUCCGGUUUCACGAGAAAUCCAGUAGAAGGUCGACCGAUAGUAGAGUUUGGAUGGCGUUGUAGAAGUUCGUCCGCUGGAGGAGUCUUGAGGACACUGUAGAAGGUUGACCAUUGGAGGAGUCUGGAAUUCAAUUCUAUUAUAGAAGUUCGGACGGAGUCCGAUUCUUGUAGGAGUUCGGAAGGAGGCUGCUUACUGUAGAAGCUCGGACGAAGACCGGUUGCCGUGGAAGCUCGGAUGGAGACUUCUUAUUGUAAAAGCUCGGAGGAAGAUCGAUUGUCGUGGAAGCUCGGAUGGAGACUUCUUAUUGUAGAAGCUCUGAUGAAAUCCGCUUGCAAUAAAAGUUCGGAGUGUAGAAGCUCGUCUGAAGACUGU